This 167-nucleotide small RNA is filed under the name Gopherus agassizii (Agassiz's desert tortoise). Its description in RNAcentral is "TUC338 (ENSGAGG00000003770.1)". The record is from RNAcentral. Lineage: Eukaryota; Metazoa; Chordata; Testudines; Testudinidae.
UUGACAGCCACAGAGACUGCGGUCUUCUAUUUAUCCACAAAACUGGUACAGCAUGGGCCAAUGGUAGCAUGGGCACUCUUUGAAUAAGCUUCAACCUGGAUUUGGAGGGAAAGUAUCUGUGAGUGAAAUGGUAGUUCAUUCUCUAUGUCCAUCCUGUUUUGGCUUCU